RNAcentral lists this microRNA precursor (100 nucleotides) under Colobus angolensis palliatus. Its description in RNAcentral is "miRNA (ENSCANG00000003037.1)". The record is from RNAcentral. Lineage: Eukaryota; Metazoa; Chordata; Mammalia; Primates; Cercopithecidae.
UGAGGCAGGAGAAUUGCUUGAACCCAGGAGGUGGAGGUUGCAGUGAGCUGAGAUCGUGCCACUGCACUCCAGCCUGGGUGACAGAGUGAGACUCCAUCUC